CGCGUGGGGGAGGGGUUCUUGGAUUGUAAACCCCUUUUCUCAGGGAAGAAAAAAAUGACGGUACCUGAGGAAUCAGCAUCGGCUAACUCCGUGCCAGCAGCCGCGGUAAUACGGAGGAUGCAAGCGUUAUCCGGAAUAAUUGGGCGUAAAGCGUCCGUAGGUGGCUGUUCAAGUCUGCCGUUAAAGACCGGGGCUUAACCCUGGAAAGGCGGUGGAAACUGAACGGCUAGAGUGCAGUAGGGGUAGAGGGAAUUCCCAGUGUAGCGGUGAAAUGCGUAGAGAUUGGGAAGAACACCGGUGGCGAAAGCGCUCUGCUGGACUGCAACUGACACUGAGGGACGAAAGCUAGGGGAGCGAAUGGGAUUAGAUCCUCUCA
Molecule: ribosomal RNA, 376 nt
Filed under: Funiculus sociatus PJ S21
Lineage: Bacteria; Bacillati; Cyanobacteriota; Cyanophyceae; Coleofasciculales; Coleofasciculaceae
Also listed under: 1 other name
Description: bacterial SSU rRNA
Rfam family: Bacterial small subunit ribosomal RNA
Source: RNAcentral